Molecule: ribosomal RNA, 735 nt
Filed under: uncultured bacterium
Lineage: Bacteria
Description: bacterial SSU rRNA
Rfam family: Bacterial small subunit ribosomal RNA
Source: RNAcentral
AACAGGAUUAGAUACCCUGGUAGUCCACGCUGUAAACGGUGGGUACUAGGUGUGGGGUCCAUUCCACGGGUUCCGUGCCGUAGCUAACGCUUUAAGUACCCCGCCUGGGGAGUACGGCCGCAAGGCUAAAACUCAAAGGAAUUGACGGGGCCCCGCACAAGCGGCGGAGCAUGCGGAUUAAUUCGAUGCAACGCGUAGAACCUUACCUGGGUUUGACAUGGAUCGGGAGUGCUCAGAGAUGGGUGUGCCUCUUUUGGGGUCGGUUCACAGGUGGUGCAUGGCUGUCGUCAGCUCGUGUCGUGAGAUGUUGGGUUAAGUCCCGCAACGAGCGCGACCCUUGUUCACUGUUGCCAGCACGUUAUGGUGGGGACUCAGUGGAGACCGCCGGGGUCAACUCGGAGGAAGGUGGGGAUGACGUCAAGUCAUCAUGCCCCUUAUGUCCAGGGCUUCACGCAUGCUACAAUGGCUGGUACAGAGAGUGGCGAGCCUGUGAGGGUGAGCGAAUCUCGGAAAGCCGGUCUCAGUUCGGAUUGGGGUCUGCAACUCGACCUCAUGAAGUCGGAGUCGCUAGUAAUCGCAGAUCAGCAACGCUGCGGUGAAUACGUUCCCGGGGCUUGUACACACCGCCCGUCAAGUCAUGAAAGUUGGUAACACCCAAAGCCGGUGGCCUAACCGUUGUGGGGGAGCCGUCGAAGGUGGGACUGGUGAUUAGGACUAAGUCGUAACAAGGUAACC